This 489-nucleotide long non-coding RNA is filed under the name Capsicum annuum. RNAcentral describes it as "long non-coding RNA (CANN_LNC007545)". Lineage: Eukaryota; Viridiplantae; Streptophyta; Magnoliopsida; Solanales; Solanaceae. The record is from RNAcentral.
GAUGAGGAUUCGGUAGGAGAAUCUGAGGAAGGAAAAGAGGAUACAAGUGUUCAGAAGUCAUUCAGUUAUGAAGCACUCGUCUAUGCAAACCAUGCUGGUGGAUCAUUUUGUUCAAAUACAAGCGGCAGCAGCAGUGACGAGGAUUUAGUCCACUACAGCCAUCAUAUUUCAGACACAAAGCACAAGUACCCUGAGGAUAAAACUCCAGCAAAUCAAUCUGCAGAGCAGAGUUCAAAACGUAGUCUUCUUUCCUGGAGGAAGAGGAAGUUGAGUUUCAAAUAUCCUAAAACCAAGGGGGAGCGAUUGUUGAAGAAACAUUAUGGAGAGGAUGGUGCAGACGAUAUAGGCUUUGAUCGCCGACAGCUUUGCUCAUCUGACGAGUCUUCUUCUAGGGUACGUCUCCUUUUUUCUUGCCAAAUAGUUCCGAUCGCCUUGAUCUUUCUUUGUCUUGAACCCUAUACCCCUAUAAUAAUGGUAGAGUCAGGGGUG